Molecule: small RNA, 130 nt
Filed under: Rhizobium esperanzae
Lineage: Bacteria; Pseudomonadati; Pseudomonadota; Alphaproteobacteria; Hyphomicrobiales; Rhizobiaceae
Description: sRNA ar35
Rfam family: Alphaproteobacterial sRNA ar35
Source: RNAcentral
GCCUGAGCCUUUCAGCGCGUCCUGCUGGACGCGCGGGCUUUGAAUAUCAUCUCCGGAUCGUGACCACGGAUAUACUGGCACGGUCCGUCGAGAUGGCAGGGAAGGUCGGGUUAGCCCGGCCUUUUUUUGU